AGCGAACGCUGGCGGCAUGCCUAACACAUGCAAGUCGAACGAGACCUUCGGGUCUAGUGGCGCACGGGUGCGUAACGCGUGGGAACCUGCCCUUAGGUUCGGAAUAACUCCCCGAAAGGGGUGCUAAUACCGGAUAAUGUCUUCGGACCAAAGAUUUAUCGCCUUUGGAUGGGCCCGCGUUGGAUUAGCUAGUUGGUAGGGUAAAAGCCUACCAAGGCGACGAUCCAUAGCUGGUCUGAGAGGAUGAUCAGCCACACUGGGACUGAGACACGGCCCAGACUCGUACGAGAGGCAGCAGAGGGGAAUAUUGGACAAGGGGCGAAAGCCAGAUCCAGCAAUGCCGCGUGAGUGAUGAAGGCCUUAGGGUUGUAAAGCUCUUUUGCCCGGGAUGAUAAUGACAGUACCGGGAGAAUAAGCUCCGGCAAACUCCGU
RNAcentral lists this ribosomal RNA (432 nucleotides) under uncultured bacterium. RNAcentral describes it as "partial 16S ribosomal RNA". It matches the Rfam family "Bacterial small subunit ribosomal RNA", at positions 29 to 506 of the family's 1533-position model. The record is from RNAcentral.